AAGUAUAUGCGUUUUCGGAACGCAGAAACUGCGAACGGCUCAUUACAACAGUUAUAAUCUACUUGACCUUUUUUCCUUUGGUUUCUAAGGAUACCUGCGGAAAAGCUGCAGCUAAUACUUGCUCGAUGUCCCUGAUUCGAUUGCAUCGGAAUGGGGGCGGUAUUUGUUAGCUCUGCAAGAAAAAGGAAGAAGGAGGGGAGUACGAACAAAGAAGCGACACGUAUAAAAGAAGAUAGUUCUUUUAUGAAGUGCGGAUCAAUCGAGUUUCUGACCUAUCAGCUUUGGAUGUUAGGGUAUUGGCCUAGCAUGGCUAUGACGGGUAACGGGGAAUUGGAGUUCGAUUCCGGAGAGGGAGCCUGAGAAAUCGCUACCACAUCUAAGGAAGGCAGCAGGCGCGUAAAUUACCCAAUUCUAACGAAGAGAGGUAGUGACAAGAAAUAUCAAUGCACGGUUUGUUUAUAAACUGUGCAAUUGGCAUGGUGGGAACGUACAUCCUUCCCAGAGAAGCCAUUGGAGGGCAAGUCUGGUGCCAGCAGCCGCGGUAAUUCCAGCUCCAAUAGCGUAUAUUAACAUUGUUGCAGUUAAAACGCUCGUAGUUGACUGUCGAGGGUGUGUAACCUCUUGGGGGAACGCCUCUUCUUUCUUGUUCUUAGGAAUAGAGAAGGAGGAGGGGUUCUCUAUGCAGAUACGCCCUUUUCAGGGAAGAUGGUGUAUUCUUGGUUCGCCAAGAAUAGACUGGAUUCUCUGGUUCCUUUGAGUAAAUUAGAGUGUUCCACGCAGGCACGUGUAACGAAGGGGGGCAACCUCCUGCUUGAAUACGGCAGCAUGGAAGAACGGUAUUGAGGAAGUCGAUCGGGGUUUUUCCAUUUUUCUUGGAUCGGCUUUUGAAAUGCGCACGCACGCAUGUACCAACUUGGUAUGUGUUUGUGUGUGUAUAUACGAUUAAUAGGGGUAGCUUGGGGGCCUUCGUAUUCAGAUGUUAGAGGUGAAAUUCUUAGAUUUUCUGGAGACGAACUACUGCGAACGCAUUGGCCUAACAUACUUCCAUUAAUCAAGAACGAAAGUUAAGGGAUUGAAGACGAUCAGAUACCGUCGUAAUCUUAACCAUAAACUAUGCCGACUGGGCGUCGGGCGGGUCUAUUGAAUGGUAUCCCCCAUUCCGUUUAGGUGUAUCUCCUUUGGUGUGGGGUCCUCCUACGGGGUAGGGGAUGCUGUAUACGAACUCCCUCGGUACCCUGAGAGAAAUCAAAGUCUUUGGGUUCUGGGGCGAGUAUUCGCGCAAGCGAGAAAGUUAAAAGAAUUGACGGAAGGGCACCACCAGGCGUGGAGCUUGCGGCUUAAUUUGACUCAACACGGGGAACCUCACUAGUGCCGGACAAGAGCAGGAUGGACAAUACCAAUGCACAUUUCUAUGUGUACGAUUGAAGCUCUUUCUUGAUUUCUUGGUGGGUGAUGCAUGGCCGUUUUUAGUUCGUGAAAUGAUUUGUCUGGUUAAUUCCGAUAACGAACGAGAUCUCGCCCUGCUUAUUAGCAACGGGUGCAAGAGGUGUCAACGGCGAGCUCGAUAGGUCCGUUCUUCAGAAAGGCAUCUUCCCUCCCCCAUGAGAAGCUCUCUUUUUUUUCUAAUCGGAUGGGACUUUGGGUCUGCCGUUAGAGAGAAGAGGUGUUUUUUAUGGGUGUGUUGGGAUAGGUCUGGUAUGGAGGACUGCGUACCUUUGGGUUGGUUGGUUGGGACGCCCCCGGCUUGCUUCUUAGAGGGACUGGGGGUGUAGAAUCCCAGGAAGCUCGAGGCCACAACAGGUCUGUGAUGUCCUUAGAUGCACUAGGCUGCACGCGUGCUACACUGAUGCGUGUAGCGAGUUGUUUUGGGGUGUGCGCGCCCUACGGUCCUGAUUCCUUCGGGGAUGUAGGGUUGUUAGGGGGUGUCACCUGCCUGCUCCGAGAGGAGUGGGGAAUCUGGAGUACGCAUCGUGAUGGGGAUGGACGAUUGCAAUUAUUCGUCUUGAACGAGGAAUGCCUAGUAAGCAUGAUUCAUCAGAUUGUGCUGACUACGUCCCUGCCCUUUGUACACACCGCCCGUCGCUCCUACCGAUUGAAAGAUAUGAUGAAUUGUUCGGACUGCGUGUGGCCCGGGGUAUUAUUACUUUGGGUGGGACGUGGGAAGAACCGUAAAUCCUAUCUUUUAAAGGAAG
Molecule: ribosomal RNA, 2192 nt
Filed under: Leucocytozoon toddi complex sp.
Lineage: Eukaryota; Apicomplexa; Aconoidasida; Haemosporida; Leucocytozoidae
Description: SSU rRNA
Rfam family: Eukaryotic small subunit ribosomal RNA
Source: RNAcentral